ACGCUCGACACCUACGGAGGCAGCAGUGGGGAAUAUUGCACAAUGGGGGAAACCCUGAUGCAGCGACGCCGCGUGGAGGAAGAAGGUCUUCGGAUUGUAAACUCCUGUUGUUGGGGAAAAAGAGGAUGGUACCCAACAAGGAAGUGACGGCUAACUACGUGCCAACAGCCGCGGUAAUCUGAGCGGGCUGGCAAGGC
Molecule: ribosomal RNA, 197 nt
Filed under: uncultured bacterium
Lineage: Bacteria
Description: partial 16S ribosomal RNA
Rfam family: Bacterial small subunit ribosomal RNA
Source: RNAcentral